UUAAAUUGAAGAGUUUGAUCAUGGCUCAGAUUGAACGCUGGCGGCAGGCCUAACACAUGCAAGUCGAACGGUAACAGGAAGCAGCUUGCUGCUUUGCUGACGAGUGGCGGACGGGUGAGUAAUGUCUGGGAAACUGCCUGAUGGAGGGGGAUAACUACUGGAAACGGUGGCUAAUACCGCAUAAUGUCGCAAGACCAAAGAGGGGGACCUUCGGGCCUCUUGCCAUCAGAUGUGCCCAGAUGGGAUUAGCUUGUUGGUGAGGUAACGGCUCACCAAGGCGACGAUCCCUAGCUGGUCUGAGAGGAUGACCAGCCACACUGGAACUGAGACACGGUCCAGACUCCUACGGGAGGCAGCAGUGGGGAAUAUUGCACAAUGGGCGCAAGCCUGAUGCAGCCAUGCCGCGUGUAUGAAGAAGGCCUUCGGGUUGUAAAGUACUUUCAGCGGGGAGGAAGGUGUUGUGGUUAAUAACCGCAGCAAUUGACGUUACCCGCAGAAGAAGCACCGGCUAACUCCGUGCCAGCAGCCGCGGUAAUACGGAGGGUGCAAGCGUUAAUCGGAAUUACUGGGCGUAAAGCGCACGCAGGCGGUCUGUCAAGUCGGAUGUGAAAUCCCCGGGCUCAACCUGGGAACUGCAUUCGAAACUGGCAGGCUUGAGUCUUGUAGAGGGGGGUAGAAUUCCAGGUGUAGCGGUGAAAUGCGUAGAGAUCUGGAGGAAUACCGGUGGCGAAGGCGGCCCCCUGGACAAAGACUGACGCUCAGGUGCGAAAGCGUGGGGAGCAAACAGGAUUAGAUACCCUGGUAGUCCACGCCGUAAACGAUGUCUACUUGGAGGUUGUGCCCUUGAGGCGUGGCUUCCGGAGCUAACGCGUUAAGUAGACCGCCUGGGGAGUACGGCCGCAAGGUUAAAACUCAAAUGAAUUGACGGGGGCCCGCACAAGCGGUGGAGCAUGUGGUUUAAUUCGAUGCAACGCGAAGAACCUUACCUGGUCUUGACAUCCACAGAACUUUCCAGAGAUGGAUUGGUGCCUUCGGGAACUGUGAGACAGGUGCUGCAUGGCUGUCGUCAGCUCGUGUUGUGAAAUGUUGGGUUAAGUCCCGCAACGAGCGCAACCCUUAUCCUUUGUUGCCAGCGGUCCGGCCGGGAACUCAAAGGAGACUGCCAGUGAUAAACUGGAGGAAGGUGGGGAUGACGUCAAGUCAUCAUGGCCCUUACGACCAGGGCUACACACGUGCUACAAUGGCGCAUACAAAGAGAAGCGACCUCGCGAGAGCAAGCGGACCUCAUAAAGUGCGUCGUAGUCCGGAUUGGAGUCUGCAACUCGACUCCAUGAAGUCGGAAUCGCUAGUAAUCGUGGAUCAGAAUGCCACGGUGAAUACGUUCCCGGGCCUUGUACACACCGCCCGUCACACCAUGGGAGUGGGUUGCAAAAGAAGUAGGUAGCUUAACCUUCGGGAGGGCGCUUACCACUUUGUGAUUCAUGACUGGGGUGAAGUCGUAACAAGGUAACCGUAGGGGAACCUGCGGUUGGAUCACCUCCUUACCUUAAAGAA
RNAcentral lists this ribosomal RNA (1554 nucleotides) under Salmonella enterica. Its description in RNAcentral is "bacterial SSU rRNA". It matches the Rfam family "Bacterial small subunit ribosomal RNA". Lineage: Bacteria; Pseudomonadati; Pseudomonadota; Gammaproteobacteria; Enterobacterales; Enterobacteriaceae. The record is from RNAcentral. RNAcentral also lists the same sequence under 1 other name.